This 49-nucleotide non-coding RNA is filed under the name Trichobilharzia regenti. The record is from RNAcentral. Lineage: Eukaryota; Metazoa; Platyhelminthes; Trematoda; Strigeidida; Schistosomatidae.
AUACUUCUGAAGAGCCCCAAACUAGGUGGACGAAACAGCUGUCCAGUAU